CCUACGGGGAGCAGCAGUGAGGAAUAUUGGUCAAUGGCCGGAAGGCUGAACCAGCCAUGCCGCGUGAAGGUCAGUGCCCUAUGGGCGUUAAACUUCUUGUGUGCGGGAGCAAUAAUGGUCACGUGUGGCCAGACGAGAGUACCGUACGAAUAAGCAUCGGCUAACGCCGUGCCAGCAGCCGCGGUAAUACGGGGGAUGCAAGCGUUAUCCGGAUUUAUUGGGGUUAAAGGGUGCGUAGGCUGUGAGGUAAGUCAGCGGUGAAAUGCCCCGCUCAACGGGGUGAAGUGCCAUUGAUACUGCCUUGCUGGAAUGCGGAUGCCGUGGGAGGAAUGUGUGGUGUAGCGGUGAAAUGCAUAGAUAUCACACAGAACACCGAUUGCGAAGGCAUCUCACGAAUCCGCGAUUGACGCUGAUGCACGAAAGCGUGGGUAUCAAACAGGAUUAGAUACCCUUGUAGUC
RNAcentral lists this ribosomal RNA (459 nucleotides) under uncultured bacterium. RNAcentral's name for it is "partial 16S ribosomal RNA". It matches the Rfam family "Bacterial small subunit ribosomal RNA", at positions 338 to 795 of the family's 1533-position model. The record is from RNAcentral.